This 72-nucleotide transfer RNA is filed under the name Camelus bactrianus (Bactrian camel). It matches the Rfam family "tRNA". From Rfam's summary of the family: Transfer RNA (tRNA) molecules are approximately 80 nucleotides in length. Their secondary structure includes four short double-helical elements and three loops (D, anti-codon, and T loops). RNAcentral also lists the same sequence under 1 other name. The record is from Rfam by way of RNAcentral. Lineage: Eukaryota; Metazoa; Chordata; Mammalia; Artiodactyla; Camelidae.
GAGGUCAUAGCUCAGUGGUAGAGUACAGUGCUUAGCAUGCACGAGGUCCUAGGUUCAGUCCCCAGUACCUCC